UACGGGGGGGGCAAGCGUUGUUCGGAAUUACUGGGCGUAAAGGGUUCGUAGGGGGCCAACUAAGUCAGAGGUGAAAUCCCUCGGCUUAACCGGGGAACUGCGUCUGAUACUGGAUGGCUUGAGUUUGGGAGAGGGAUGCGGAAUUCCAGGUGUAGCGGUGAAAUGCGUAGAUAUGCGGAGGAACACCGAUGGCGAAGGCAAUCCCCUGGGCCUGCACUGACGCUCAUGCACGAAAGCGUGGGGAGCAAACAGG
RNAcentral lists this ribosomal RNA (253 nucleotides) under uncultured bacterium. RNAcentral's name for it is "partial 16S ribosomal RNA". It matches the Rfam family "Bacterial small subunit ribosomal RNA", at positions 524 to 776 of the family's 1533-position model. The record is from RNAcentral.